RNAcentral lists this ribosomal RNA (432 nucleotides) under Triticum aestivum (bread wheat). Its description in RNAcentral is "partial small subunit ribosomal RNA". The record is from RNAcentral. Lineage: Eukaryota; Viridiplantae; Streptophyta; Magnoliopsida; Poales; Poaceae.
AUGGCGAUGGAGAUGCUGGAUGUGGACGAAGCGGCGUGUGCAAAGUACUUCACCAUGAUGUUGGAUGUAAUGGCUCACACUUGGUUAAAAAGUCUGCCUGUUAAUUCGGUCGGUUCAUGGGAUGAGUUGAAGACCCGGUUUAUAGCAAUCUUCAAAGACACGUGCAAGCAACCCAUGUCAAUCGUGGAUCUGGCCGAUUGUGUCCAAGGAGAAGGCGAAUCAACGACUCAUUGGGUGUGCCGGGUUUCGGAAAUCCUGCAUUCGUCGGACCGCAUCAACGCUGACUUGACAAUCAUAACAUUGGAGGGCAAUUGCUGGUUUAAGCUAUUGAAGUUGAAGUUGGGACGACCCAAGCGUCACUGCAAUGACAUGCGAACACUUAUGGCAGCAUUGGUUAAGUAUGCUGAUUCUGAUAAUUCCAAGGAUCCCUAG